RNAcentral lists this ribosomal RNA (499 nucleotides) under uncultured bacterium. Its description in RNAcentral is "bacterial SSU rRNA". It matches the Rfam family "Bacterial small subunit ribosomal RNA", at positions 29 to 505 of the family's 1533-position model. The record is from RNAcentral.
AACAAACGCUGGCGGCGUGCCUAACACAUGCAAGUCGAACGCGAAAGGGACUUCGGUCCUGAGUAAAGUGGCGCACGGGUGAGUAACGCGUGGGUAAUCUGCCCCUCAGUUGGGAAUAACCCAUCGAAAGGUGGGCUAAUACCGAAUAAUGCUGUAUCGCCUCGGUGAUUCAGCCAAAGACGGCCUCUGCUUGCAUGCUGUCGCUGAGAGAUGAGCCCGCGUACCAUUAGCUUGUUGGUGGGGUAAUGGCCUACCAAGGCGACGAUGGUUAGCUGAUCUGAGAGGAUGAUCAGCCACACUGGAACUGAGACACGGUCCAGACUCCUACGGGAGGCAGCAGUGGGGAAUUUUGGACAAUGGGCGAAAGCCUGAUCCAGCAAUACCGCGUGCAGGACGAAGGCCUUCGGUUGUAAACUGCUUUGUACGGAACGAAACGGUUACAGAUUAAUACUACUGAACUAAUGACGGUACCGUAAGAAUAAGACACCGGCUAACUACG